AACGCGAAGAACCUUACCUAGAUUUGACAUCCACUGACAUCCGUAGAAGUACGGCUUUCCCUUCGGGGACAGUGAGACAGGUGCUGCAUGGCUGUCGUCAGCUCGUAUCGUGAGAUGUCGGGUUAAGUCCCUUAACGAGCGCAACCCUUAUCCCUAGUUGCCAUCAUUUAGUUGGGCACUCUAUGGAGACUGCCGGUGUUAAACCGGAGGAAGGCGGGGAUGACGUCAAGUCCUCAUGGCCUUUAUAUCUAGGGCUACACACGUGCUACAAUGGCCGGUACAAAGGGUAGCCAACCCGCGAGGGGGAGCUAAUCUCAGAAAGCCGGUCUCAGUUCGGAUUGAAGUCUGCAACUCGACUUCAUGAAGCUGGAAUCGCUAGUAAUCGCGGAUCAGAACGCCGCGGUGAAUACGUUCCCGGGUCUUGUACACACCGAAU
This 436-nucleotide ribosomal RNA is filed under the name uncultured freshwater bacterium. RNAcentral's name for it is "bacterial SSU rRNA". It matches the Rfam family "Bacterial small subunit ribosomal RNA", at positions 958 to 1395 of the family's 1533-position model. The record is from RNAcentral.